ACACUUUCAUCCUGCCCCAUUCUUUCCUCCUGGUAACCACCAAAAUGCUUUCUCUUCAAAAACAGCAGCACGAAAUAUCACAUUUUCAAGCCUUACAAAGAUGAGAUGUGGGAAUUGAUUUACUUCUGGUCAGCUUUAUUCCCAGCAUCUAACUCAUGAGUCUGCCUAAAAUUUAAGGGAGGUGAAUGGAGAUUUGGCAACAGAACAGGAAAAGGCAAUGUGACAAUGGAGGCAGAGACUGGGAUAAGGUGGCCGUGGGCUGCAGAAUGCUGGCAGCUACCAGAAGCUGGGAAGAGGCAAGAGUGAAUUCUGCCCUAGAGCCUCCAGAAGGAGCCAGCUCUGCCAACACCUUGUUUUAUCCCAUAAGAUUCAUUUUGAAUUUCUGGCCUCCGGAAGUACAAGAGAAUAACGUUUUGUUGUUUUAAGUCAUUAAA
Non-coding RNA from Macaca mulatta (Rhesus monkey), 434 nucleotides. The record is from RefSeq and is a predicted model, not a curated record. Lineage: Eukaryota; Metazoa; Chordata; Mammalia; Primates; Cercopithecidae.